RNAcentral lists this long non-coding RNA (204 nucleotides) under Elaeis guineensis (African oil palm). RNAcentral describes it as "long non-coding RNA (EGUI_LNC063749)". Lineage: Eukaryota; Viridiplantae; Streptophyta; Magnoliopsida; Arecales; Arecaceae. The record is from RNAcentral.
CUAGGGUUACUGUAGACUUUUGAGAAGGAUCACCAGCUCCAAAAGGAGCCAGUGAAUUUAGUGAGAGGUUCAUCUGCAGGGCAUCGAUCCUCUAAGAGAGAAAAGAAGAAAAGGUGCAAAAAAUCCUGUGUCGUCGAUCCCAAGCAGAGCAAACCGUCAAAAAUUGACAAAAGCUAGGCAGAGUGCUUCUUCUGUAAGAAGCUG